GUACUGGGUUGGCCAAAAAGUUCGCUUGGGUUUUUCUGUAAGAUGUUAUGGUAAAAACCUGAAUGAGCUUUUUGGCCAACCCAAUACAA
This 89-nucleotide microRNA precursor is filed under the name Ovis aries (sheep). Its description in RNAcentral is "miRNA (ENSOARG00000024628.1)". The record is from RNAcentral. Lineage: Eukaryota; Metazoa; Chordata; Mammalia; Artiodactyla; Bovidae.